Non-coding RNA from Myotis lucifugus (little brown bat), 76 nucleotides. NCBI's taxonomy places the organism in Eukaryota, Metazoa, Chordata, Mammalia, Chiroptera, Vespertilionidae. The record is from Rfam.
GGUGGUUCUCAGGUGAUGCACCCCAGAAUUGGGCUCCUUCCUCUCUGGUUCCAGGGUGCGUCACCCAAGAGCCACU